UGUGCUUGUUUCAGAUCUACUACAUUGCAGUCGGACUGCGCAUAAUCACUGAUCUACAGAAAUCCCCUUGGUUAAAACAACUACUCAUUAUGUGAUGAAGAUUAGCGUAUCUGCACAGAUCCUUGCUCAAAUGUAUCCCCUCAAACAGGCGAUCUACCAGAGGUGGGACCAUGUCAUUACAAGUCACAAGUCUUCCGGAAGGCGGAGCUUCGCACCAGAUUGGCUAAACUUCUGCUGCAGCUUUCUGGCCCCCAGCAAACUCCGGGGAUUGUGGGAGAAGGAAAACAUAAGGAGAUGAAAAAGUGUAUUUGGUGUGUCUUUUGUUGUUGCUCGGGCACAGUGGAGCCACCUCUGAGGCUCUUCCAUCGCACAGUCCCUCUCCUACCAAGAUCCCCAAAAUCCCCAAGAUCCCCAAGGGAGAAGCAGAGCCAACAGGCCGACAGAAGAAGACUGGCAGUCAGAAGGAGAUGGUAACGAGGGGAGAGACAGGAAGAAGGGAGGAGACGGGAGGACGGAGAGAGACAGGAGCAGGGGGAGAGCAGUCAGAGCCCUGUCUAGCUGUGACCGACACAAGCCCCAAGGAAAACCAGGAAGGACAACGGAAUGGAUCCCAGCCGGCGACCCAAAAAAACGACUCCGUAAAAGAGGGAAACGUCCGGAGACGGGCACAUCGUGCACCACUCCCCAGCAUUCUUCUCGCCAAUGUCCAGUCUCUUGAUAACAAGGUUGAUGAAAUCCGAGCAAGGGUAGCAUUCCAGAGGGACAUCAGAGACUGUAACGUUCUUUGCUUCACGGAAACAUGGCUCACUGGAGAGACGCUAUCGGAGGCGGUGCAGCCAGCGGGUUUCUCCACGCAUCGCGCAGACAGAAACAAACAACUUUCUGGACCUGAGCCCUAGGAUCAUGCCACAGGACUACCUGGCAUGAGGACCUGGCCGUGCUGCUGCUCCAGUUUCAACUGUUCUGCCUGUGAUUAUUAUUAUUUGACCAUGCUGGUCAUUUAUGAACAUUUGAACAUCUUGGCCAUGUUCUGUUAUAAUCUCCACCUGGCACAGCCAGAAGAGGACUGGACACCCCUCAUAGCCUGGUUCCUUUCUAGGUUUCUUCCUAGGUUUGGGCCUUUCUAGGGAGUUUUUCCUAGUGCUUCUACACCUGCAUUGCUUGCUGUUAGGGGUUUUAGGCUGGGUUUCUGUACAGCACUUUGAGAUAUCAGCUGAUGUAUGAAGGGCUUUAUAAAUAAAUUUGAUUUGGUUUGCCUUAGGCCGCUGCGCCACUCAGGAGCCCCCUUAAAGGCAAAACGGAUCCUAGAUCAGUGUCUAUUUUGACUUCAUUCCCUCAUAAUGCCACCGCCUUUACGUGCGAUGAAUCGAUGAAGAAGGUUGAUGCAACCUGUCAGGUCCAAGUGGAA
Molecule: long non-coding RNA, 1408 nt
Organism: Oncorhynchus tshawytscha (Chinook salmon)
Lineage: Eukaryota; Metazoa; Chordata; Actinopteri; Salmoniformes; Salmonidae
Source: Ensembl